Molecule: ribosomal RNA, 253 nt
Filed under: uncultured bacterium
Lineage: Bacteria
Description: partial 16S ribosomal RNA
Rfam family: Bacterial small subunit ribosomal RNA
Source: RNAcentral
UACGAAGGGGGCUAGCGUUGCUCGGAAUCACUGGGCGUAAAGCGCACGUAGGCGGAUUGCUAAGUCAGGGGUGAAAUCCCAAGGCUCAACCUUGGAACUGCCUUUGAUACUGAAGAUCUUGAGUCCGGGAGAGGUGAGUGGAACUGCGAGUGUAGAGGUGAAAUUCGUAGAUAUUCGCAAGAACACCAGUGGCGAAGGCGGCUCACUGGCCCGGUACUGACGCUGAGGCACGAAAGCGUGGGGAGCAAACAGG